Molecule: ribosomal RNA, 463 nt
Filed under: Pachysternum stevensi
Lineage: Eukaryota; Metazoa; Arthropoda; Insecta; Coleoptera; Hydrophilidae
Description: partial 16S ribosomal RNA
Source: RNAcentral
AUAGUUAAUUUUAAUCCAACAUCGAGGUCGCAAUCUCUUUUAUCAAUUAGAACUCUCCAAAAAAAUUACGCUGUUAUCCCUAAGGUAAUUUAAUCUACUAAUCAUAAAUAAUGGAUCAAAUAAUCAUAAAUAAAUGUUUUAUAAAUAUAAAAGUUAAUUAAAUUUUAAAAUCACCCCAAUCAAAUUAUAUUUUAUAAUAAUAAAUAUAAAAUUCUUAAAUAAAAAUAUUAUAAAUUAAAUUAAACUCUAUAGGGUCUUCUCGUCUUUUAAUUAAAUUUAAGCUUUUUAACUUAAAAAUAAAAUUCUACGUAAACUAUAAAUAGACAGUCUUUUUCUCAUUCAACCAUUCAUACAAGCUUUCAAUUAAAAAACUAAUGAUUAUGCUACCUUUGUACAGUCAAAAUACUGCAGCUAUUUAAUUAAUCAUUGAGCAGGUUAGACCUUAAAUCAUAUUCAAAAGGAC